This 521-nucleotide ribosomal RNA is filed under the name uncultured bacterium. Its description in RNAcentral is "bacterial SSU rRNA". It matches the Rfam family "Bacterial small subunit ribosomal RNA", at positions 25 to 518 of the family's 1533-position model. The record is from RNAcentral.
CAGGACGAACGCUGGCGGCGUGCCUAAUACAUGCAAGUCGAACGGUCUUUCUAUGGAAGCUUGCUUCCGCUGAGAAGAUAGUGGCGAACGGGUGAGUAACACGUGGGUAACCUGCCCAUAAGAGGGGGAUAACAUCCGGAAACGGGUGCUAAUACCGCAUAGUUUUCUUGAUCGCAUGAUCGGGAAAGAAAAGACGGCCUUUGUGCUGUCGCUUAUGGAUGGACCCGCGGCGUAUUAGUUAGUUGGUGAGGUAACGGCUCACCAAGACGAUGAUACGUAGCCGACCUGAGAGGGUGAUCGGCCACAUUGGGACUGAGACACGGCCCAAACUCCUACGGGAGGCAGCAGUAGGGAAUCUUCCGCAAUGGACGAAAGUCUGACGGAGCAACGCCGCGUGAGUGAAGAAGGUUUUCGGGAAUCGUAAAACUCUGUUGUCAGAGAAGAACAAGUUGGAGAGUAACUGCUCCAGCCUUGACGGUAUCUGACCAGAAAGCCACGGCUAACUACGUGCCAGCAGCAGC